UAGGGAAUCUUCCACAAUGGACGAAAGUCUGAUGGAGCAACGCCGCGUGAGUGAAGAAGGGUUUCGGCUCGUAAAACUCUGUUGUUAAAGAAGAACAUAUCUGAGAGUAACUGUUCAGGUAUUGACGGUAUUUAACCAGAAAGCCACGGGUAACUACGUGCCAC
This 164-nucleotide ribosomal RNA is filed under the name uncultured bacterium. RNAcentral's name for it is "partial 16S rRNA". It matches the Rfam family "Bacterial small subunit ribosomal RNA", at positions 355 to 511 of the family's 1533-position model. The record is from RNAcentral.